GUGCCAGCAGCCGCGGUAAUACGAAGGUGGCGAGCGUUGUUCGGAAUCACUGGGCUUAAAGGGCACGCAGGCGGACUGUAAAGCGUCUUGUGAAAGCCCCCGGCUUAACCGGGGAAUUGCUAGGCGAACUGGCAGUCUUGAGGCAGGUAAGGGCGAGUGGAACUCUUGGUGGAGCGGUGGAAUGCGUAGAUAUCAAGAGGAACGCCGGAGGCGAAAGCGACUCGCUGGGCCUGACCUGACGCUGAGGUGCGAAAGCCAGGGUAGCGAACGGGAUUAGAUACCCCGGUAGUCCUGGCCAUAAACGAUGUCCACUAGAUCGGUGAACUUCUGACAGUGCGCCGGUCGAAACAAAAGCGUUAAGUGGACCGCCUGGGGAGUACGGUCGCAAGGCUAAAACUCAAAGGAAUUGACGGGGGCUCACACAAGCGGUGGAGCAUGUUGCUUAAUUCGAUGCAACGCGAAGAACCUUAUCCUGGACUUGACAUGUUUGGAUGCCUCCCUGGAAACAGGGUUGGUUGCCCUUCGGGGUGAAACAUUCACAGGUGCUGCAUGGCUGUCGUCAGCUCGUGUCGUGAGAUGUUGGGUUAAGUCCCGUAACGAGCGAAACCCUUGUCGUUAGUUGCCAGCGCGUAAUGGCGGGGACUCUAGCGAGACUGCCGGUGUUAAACCGGAGGAAGGUGGGGAUGACGUCAAGUCCUCAUGGCCUUUAUGUCCAGGGCUGCAAACGUGCUACAAUGGCGUGUACAAACCGACGCAAGACCGCGAGGUGGAGCAAAUCGGAAAAAGCACGCCCCAGUUCGGAUUGGAGUCUGCAACUCGACUCCAUGAAGUCGGAAUCGCU
This 841-nucleotide ribosomal RNA is filed under the name uncultured organism. RNAcentral's name for it is "bacterial SSU rRNA". It matches the Rfam family "Bacterial small subunit ribosomal RNA", at positions 505 to 1336 of the family's 1533-position model. The record is from RNAcentral.